RNAcentral lists this ribosomal RNA (253 nucleotides) under uncultured bacterium. RNAcentral's name for it is "partial 16S ribosomal RNA". It matches the Rfam family "Bacterial small subunit ribosomal RNA", at positions 524 to 776 of the family's 1533-position model. The record is from RNAcentral.
UACGGAGGGUGCAAGCGUUGUCCGGAUUUAUUGGGUUUAAAGGGUGCGUAGGCGGCCCUGUAAGUCAGUGGUGAAAUACUGCAGCUUAACUGUAGCAUUGCCAUUGAUACUGUAGGGCUUGAGUACAGAUGAGGUAGGCGGAAUUGAUGGUGUAGCGGUGAAAUGCAUAGAUACCAUCAAGAACACCGAUUGCGAAGGCAGCUUACUAAGCUGUAACUGACACUGAGGCACGAAAGCGUGGGGAUCGAACAGG